GUCUGUCGUCAGCAUGUUAUCAGCUUCCUGAAUUCGAUUUGCCAGAUACGGGGGCUCAAUGUCAAAGAAAUAGCUUGUUUCAAAUAGGAAAUUUCAACACUGAGGUGCGACACCACAUAUAAUUGAAAUGUGGCAGUCGUCUAAAAUGCCAGACGUCGGCAGGAAUCGAAUCACGCACCUCUUGAUUACCGCAUUGUCGCAGACUGUGUGUGUGUGCAUCCUCAAGUCGAGAAGUAGAGCAGAAGGUAGCCAACGACCCCAUCAACGCUGUUGCGUCCGUGUGACAUAUGCCGUGCAGAUGAAUGAUGGAUGGAUCCAAGUAAAACCUGGCUCUGGGACAACGGGAAGCUGGCGUGCACAGACGUGGCCCUGCUAUUCUUAUAUGAAAUAGGGCGCUAUUGGUGACGACGUGAACAAUGCACGGUUGCUGGAAGCAUCACCGGAAAAGUUCCAGUGUAAUGUUUGCAUCUCCCCGAGGCUCAGC
Molecule: long non-coding RNA, 484 nt
Organism: Ornithodoros turicata
Lineage: Eukaryota; Metazoa; Arthropoda; Arachnida; Ixodida; Argasidae
Exons: 3
Source: RefSeq, a predicted model, not a curated record